AUUGAACGCUGGCGGCAGGCUUAACACAUGCAAGUCGAGCGGGGAAUGGUAGCUUGCUACCUGACCUAGCGGCGGACGGGUGAGUAAUGCUUAGGAAUCUGCCUAUUAGUGGGGGACAACAUUCCGAAAGGAAUGCUAAUACCGCAUACGCCCUACGGGGGAAAGCAGGGGAUCUUCGGACCUUGCGCUAAUAGAUGAGCCUAAGUCAGAUUAGCUAGUUGGUGGGGUAAAGGCCUACCAAGGCGACGAUCUGUAGCGGGUCUGAGAGGAUGAUCCGCCACACUGGGACUGAGACACGGCCCAGACUCCUACGGGAGGCAGCAGUGGGGAAUAUUGGACAAUGGGCGAAAGCCUGAUCCAGCCAUGCCGCGUGUGUGAAGAAGGCCUUUUGGUUGUAAAGCGCUUUAAGCGAGGAGGAGGCUACUUGGAUUAAUACUCUAGGAUAGUGGACGUUACUCGCAGAAUAAGCACCGGCUAACUCUGUGCCAGCAGCCGCGGUAAUACAGAGGGUGCGAGCGUUAAUCGGAUUUACUGGGCGUAAAGCGUGCGUAGGCGGCUUUUUAAGUCGGAUGUGAAAUCCCUGAGCUUAACUUAGGAAUUGCAUUCGAUACUGGGAAGCUAGAGUAUGGGAGAGGAUGGUAGAAUUCCAGGUGUAGCGGUGAAAUGCGUAGAGAUCUGGAGGAAUACCGAUGGCGAAGGCAGCCAUCUGGCCUAAUACUGACGCUGAGGUACGAAAGCAUGGGGAGCAAACAGGAUUAGAUACCCUGGUAGUCCAUGCCGUAAACGAUGUCUACUAGCCGUUGGGGCCUUUGAGGCUUUAGUGGCGCAGCUAACGCGAUAAGUAGACCGCCUGGGGAGUACGGUCGCAAGACUAAAACUCAAAUGAAUUGACGGGGGCCCGCACAAGCGGUGGAGCAUGUGGUUUAAUUCGAUGCAACGCGAAGAACCUUACCUGGUCUUGACAUAGUAAGAACUUUCCAGAGAUGGAUUGGUGCCUUCGGGAACUUACAUACAGGUGCUGCAUGGCUGUCGUCAGCUCGUGUCGUGAGAUGUUGGGUUAAGUCCCGCAACGAGCGCAACCCUUUUCCUUAUUUGCCAGCGGGUUAAGCCGGGAACUUUAAGGAUACUGCCAGUGACAAACUGGAGGAAGGCGGGGACGACGUCAAGUCAUCAUGGCCCUUACGACCAGGGCUACACACGUGCUACAAUGGUCGGUACAAAGGGUUGCUACCUAGCGAUAGGAUGCUAAUCUCAAAAAGCCGAUCGUAGUCCGGAUUGGAGUCUGCAACUCGACUCCAUGAAGUCGGGAUCGCUAGUAAUCGCGGAUCAGAAUGCCGCGGUGAAUACGUUCCCGGGCCU
RNAcentral lists this ribosomal RNA (1359 nucleotides) under uncultured bacterium. Its description in RNAcentral is "bacterial SSU rRNA". It matches the Rfam family "Bacterial small subunit ribosomal RNA", at positions 28 to 1381 of the family's 1533-position model. The record is from RNAcentral.